CACUACAAGAAAAGAGAAUUUUUGUGAUAAAAUUAUUUAUCAUGAAAAUAUUUUCAUCGACAAUAAGAGUAUUUAUGAUGAAAAAACAAAUUUAUCAUAAAUAAUAAAAUAUUUAUGAUAAAAAUAAUUUUUCAUCAUAAAUAAUUUUAUAUUAAUGAUGGAAAAAAAAUUAAUUAUAAAUACUUAUUAUUUGUGAUGAUUAUUUUC
This 207-nucleotide long non-coding RNA is filed under the name Elaeis guineensis (African oil palm). Its description in RNAcentral is "long non-coding RNA (EGUI_LNC019864)". Lineage: Eukaryota; Viridiplantae; Streptophyta; Magnoliopsida; Arecales; Arecaceae. The record is from RNAcentral.